Oryza glaberrima (African rice) is the source of this 192-nucleotide non-coding RNA. The record is from Rfam. Lineage: Eukaryota; Viridiplantae; Streptophyta; Magnoliopsida; Poales; Poaceae.
CGAAAGAAAAAAUAUAUAGGUUUUCGUGUCGAACGUUUGACUGUUCGUGUUAUAUAAUUUUUUUAUAAUUAGUAUUUUUAUUGUUGUUAGAUGAUAAAACAUAAUUAAUACUUUAUGCGUAACUUAUCUUUUUAAUUUUGUUCAUAAUUUUUUCAAAUAACGGUCAAACGUUGAACACGGAAACCCAGGGUU